RNAcentral lists this ribosomal RNA (301 nucleotides) under uncultured bacterium. Its description in RNAcentral is "partial 16S ribosomal RNA". It matches the Rfam family "Bacterial small subunit ribosomal RNA", at positions 509 to 807 of the family's 1533-position model. The record is from RNAcentral.
CAGUCGCCGCGGGAAUACGUAGGUGGCAAGCGUUGUCCGGAAUUAUUGGGCGUAAAGGGCUCGCAGGCGGUUUCUUAAGUCUGAUGUGAAAGCCCCCGGCUCAACCGGGGAGGGACAUUGGAAACUGGGAAACUUGAGUGCAGAAGAGGAGAGUGGAAUUCCACGUGUAGCGGUGAAAUGCGUAGAGAUGUGGAGGAACACCAGUGGCGAAGGCGACUCUCUGGUCUGUAACUGACGCUGAGGAGUGAAAGCGUGGGGAGCGAACAGGAUUAGAUACCCCUGUAGUCCCUGUCUCUUAUAC